CGGGGAAUAUUGGACAAUGGGCGGAAGCCUGAUCCAGCCAUGCCGCGUGUGUGAAGAAGGCCUUUUGGUUGUAAAGCACUUUAAGCGAGGAGGAGGCUACUUGGAUUAAUACUCUAGGAUAGUGGACGUUACUCGCAGAAUAAGCACCGGCUAACUCUGUGCCAGCAGCCGCGGUAAUACAGAGGGUGCGAGCGUUAAUCGGAUUUACUGGGCGUAAAGCGUGCGUAGGCGGCUUCUUAAGUCGGAUGUGAAAUCCCUGAGCUUAACUUAGGAAUUGCAUUCGAUACUGGGAAGCUAGAGUAUGGGAGAGGAUGGUAGAAUUCCAGGUGUAGCGGUGAAAUGCGUAGAGAUCUGGAGGAAUACCGAUGGCGAAGGCAGCCAUCUGGCCUAAUACUGACGCUGAGGUACGAAAGCAUGGGGAGCAAACAGG
Molecule: ribosomal RNA, 430 nt
Filed under: Acidobacteriota bacterium
Lineage: Bacteria; Pseudomonadati; Acidobacteriota
Description: Acidobacteria bacterium partial 16S ribosomal RNA
Rfam family: Bacterial small subunit ribosomal RNA
Source: RNAcentral